RNAcentral lists this ribosomal RNA (467 nucleotides) under uncultured bacterium. RNAcentral's name for it is "partial 16S ribosomal RNA". It matches the Rfam family "Bacterial small subunit ribosomal RNA", at positions 28 to 507 of the family's 1533-position model. The record is from RNAcentral.
GAUGAACGCUGACAGAAUGCUUAACACAUGCAAGUCCACUUGAAUUUGGGUUUUUAACUUAGGUUUGGGUGGCGGACGGGUGAGUAACGCGUAAAGAACUUGCCUCACAGCUAGGGACAACAUUUGGAAACGAAUGCUAAUACCUAAUAUUAUGAUAAUAGGGCAUCCUAUAAUUAUGAAAGCUAUAAGCGCUGUGAGAGAGCUUUGCGUCCCAUUAGCUAGUUGGAGAGGUAACGGCUCACCAAGGCGAUGAUGGGUAGCCGGUCUGAGAGGGUGAUCGGCCACAAGGGGACUGAGACACGGCCCGUACUCCUACGGGAGGCAGCAGUGGGGAAUAUUGGACAAUGGACCGAGAGUCUGAUCCAGCAAUUCUGUGUGCACGAUGAAGUUUUUCGGAAUGUAAAGUGCUUUCAGUUGGGAAGAAACAAAUGACGGCACCAACAGAAGAAGUGACGGCUAAAUACGUG